AUGUUCUAACGUGGACCCGUGAUCCGGGUUGCGGACAGUGUCUGGUGGGUAGUUUGACUGGGGCGGUCUCCUCCUAAAGAGUAACGGAGGAGCACGAAGGUUGGCUAAUCCUGGUCGGACAUCAGGAGGUUAGUGCAAUGGCAUAAGCCAGCUUGACUGCGAGCGUGACGGCGCGAGCAGGUGCGAAAGCAGGUCAUAGUGAUCCGGUGGUUCUGAAUGGAAGGGCCAUCGCUCAACGGAUAAAAGGUACUCCGGGGAUAACAGGCUGAUACCGCCCAAGAGUUCAUAUCGACGGCGGUGUUUGGCACCUCGAUGUCGGCUCAUCACAUCCUGGGGCUGAAGUAGGUCCCAAGGGUAUGGCUGUUCGCCAUUUAAAGUGGUACGCGAGCUGGGUUUAGAACGUCGUGAGACAGUUCGGUCCCUAUCUGCCGUGGGCGCUGGAGAACUGAGGGGGGCUGCUCCUAGUACGAGAGGACCGGAGUGGACGCAUCACUGGUGUUCGGGUUGUCAUGCCAAUGGCACUGCCCGGUAGCUAAAUGCGGAAGAGAUAAGUGCUGAAAGCAUCUAAGCACGAAACUUGCCCCGAGAUGAGUUCUCCCUGAGACUUAAAGUCUCCUGAAGGAA
Molecule: ribosomal RNA, 624 nt
Filed under: Salmonella enterica subsp. enterica serovar Montevideo
Lineage: Bacteria; Pseudomonadati; Pseudomonadota; Gammaproteobacteria; Enterobacterales; Enterobacteriaceae
Description: partial 23S ribosomal RNA
Rfam family: Bacterial large subunit ribosomal RNA
Source: RNAcentral